GAGGAAAGUCUGGGCUUACUAGCAAAAUGCGUUGCAGGAUAAGCUCCUGUACAAGUAAUUGUGAGGACAGUGCCACAGAAAAAAAUACCGCUAUUUUUUAGUAAGGGUGCAAUGGUGUGUGUGAGUUACUAUUAGAUUUUCAUUAAAAUCGCUCUAAUUUGCGUAUAUAAAAGUAUACAACAAGGUUAAUAAUAUUUGAAUUAUUGCAUGAAAGCAUCAAUGUAUAGUCUUUUUAUCUAAAUAUCUGAUAAUUGUAUUUCAAUUAAAAUAUAUUAAUGUUUGCUUUAAAAACCUAAAUUGUUAUCAAUAUUGAAAAGUUCUUUGGUAUAUAGUUUGAUCUUUAAUGGACAAGUAUGGCUAUUAGAAAAUUGAUUUUUGUAUUGUUUAUUAUCUAUUUAUCCAUAUUUUUGAGCAUUACGUAUAUAAACAUGCAUUUAAUGUUCUUAGAACAGCCCACGCUGAGUCGAUUUAGAGCAUACCAGAAACAUUGAAAAAUGUUGGCUAGGUAAACCCCGACGGUAAGCAAAUUCACUAGUUGAUUUUAUUUGUUUAAAAUAGUGAUAAUUAAAUGCAUAAAGUUAUGAGUAAUCCUAACUUCAGAUAAAUAACCAUCCUUUUGUCUACAGGUAUUUUACCUUUAGUUUAAAAGAACAAAACCCGGCUUAC
RNAcentral lists this non-coding RNA (666 nucleotides) under Pseudoerythrocladia kornmannii. The record is from RNAcentral. Lineage: Eukaryota; Rhodophyta; Compsopogonophyceae; Erythropeltidales; Erythrotrichiaceae.